CCCCGGCUUGAGACGGAGCUCAGCAGACUUGUUAAAGAAUUUCUUUCCUCAUUUUAAAAUUACUUGUAGUUAGCUAGUUUCUUCUCUGUUACUCACCUU
Gopherus evgoodei (Goodes thornscrub tortoise) is the source of this 99-nucleotide long non-coding RNA. RefSeq lists it as uncharacterized. The transcript has 3 exons. NCBI's taxonomy places the organism in Eukaryota, Metazoa, Chordata, Testudines, Testudinidae. The record is from RefSeq and is a predicted model, not a curated record.